This 679-nucleotide ribosomal RNA is filed under the name uncultured bacterium. Its description in RNAcentral is "bacterial SSU rRNA". It matches the Rfam family "Bacterial small subunit ribosomal RNA", at positions 8 to 719 of the family's 1533-position model. The record is from RNAcentral.
AGAGUUUGAUCCUGGCUCAGAAUCAACGCUGGCGGCGUGCCUAACACAUGCAAGUCGAACGAGAAAGUGGAGCAAUCCAUGAGUAAAGUGGCGCACGGGUGAGUAACACGUGACUAACCUACCCUUGAGUGGGGGAUAACCUAGGGAAACCUGGGCUAAUACCGCAUAAUACCUUCGGGUCAAAGGAGCAAUUCGCUUAAGGAGGGGGUCGCGGCCGAUUAGUUAGUUGGCGGGGUAAUGGCCCACCAAGACUGUGAUCGGUAUCCGGCCUGAGAGGGCGCACGGACACACUGGAACUGAAACACGGUCCAGACUCCUACGGGAGGCAGCAGUGGGGAAUUUUGCGCAAUGGGGGAAACCCUGACGCAGCAACGCCGCGUGGAGGAUGAAGCCCCUUGGGGCGUAAACUCCUUUCGAUCGGGACGAUUAUGACGGUACCGGAAGAAGAAGCCCCGGCUAACUUCGUGCCAGCAGCCGCGGUAAUACGAGGGGGGCGAGCGUUGUUCGGAAUUAUUGGGCGUAAAGGGUGCGUAGGCGGUUCAGUAAGUCUUGUGUGAAAUCUUCGGGCUCAACUCGAAGUCUGCAUGAGAAACUGCUGGGCUUGAGUAUGGGAGAGGUGAGUGGAAUUCCUGGUGUAGCGGUGAAAUGCGUAGAUAUCGGGAGGAACACCUGUGGCGAA